Molecule: transfer RNA, 68 nt
Filed under: Pseudomyrmex elongatus
Lineage: Eukaryota; Metazoa; Arthropoda; Insecta; Hymenoptera; Formicidae
Description: tRNA-Ile
Source: RNAcentral
AAUGAUAUGCCUGAUAAAAGGGUUAUUUUGAUAGAAUAAUUUAUGCAUUUUAAAUCAUGCUUUCAUUU